UACGUAGGGUGCGAGCGUUGUCCGGAAUUAUUGGGCGUAAAGAGCUCGUAGGCGGUUUGUCGCGUCGACUGUGAAAACCUACAGCUUAACUGUGGGCUUGCAGUCGAUACGGGCAGACUUGAGUUCGGUAGGGGAGACUGGAAUUCCUGGUGUAGCGGUGAAAUGCGCAGAUAUCAGGAGGAACACCGGUGGCGAAGGCGGGUCUCUGGGCCGAUACUGACGCUGAGGAGCGAAAGCGUGGGGAGCGAUCCGG
RNAcentral lists this ribosomal RNA (253 nucleotides) under uncultured bacterium. RNAcentral's name for it is "partial 16S ribosomal RNA". It matches the Rfam family "Bacterial small subunit ribosomal RNA", at positions 524 to 776 of the family's 1533-position model. The record is from RNAcentral.